RNAcentral lists this ribosomal RNA (254 nucleotides) under uncultured bacterium. RNAcentral's name for it is "partial 16S ribosomal RNA". It matches the Rfam family "Bacterial small subunit ribosomal RNA", at positions 524 to 776 of the family's 1533-position model. The record is from RNAcentral.
UACGUAGGGGGCGAGCGUUGUCCGGAUUCAUUGGGCGUAAAGAGCUCGUAGGCGGUUCGGUAAGUCAGGUGUGAAAUCUCCACGCUCAACGUGGAGGGACCACCUGAUACUGCCGUGACUCGAGUCCGGUAGGGGAGUAUGGAAUUCCCGGUGUAGCGGUGAAAUGCGCAGAUAUCGGGAGGAACACCAGUGGCGAAGGCGGUACUCUGGGCCGGAACUGACGCUGAGGAGCGAAAGCGUGGGUAGCAAACAGG